UACUGUAAGUCAAUAUCUUCUAUAGUGGAUCUCUACUGGCUUGUGCCCGGAGUUUUUACCCAGUUGGGUUUUCUCCGUCAACAUUUUGUGGCGUUUUUACUGGUUUUUGUUAUUUACUUUUCAACCGAAAAUUCAACUUAGGUAGAUAAAGUAUGUGAAUGAAUCUGGACAAUGCAUAAUUUAUGUGACUUGUUGCAUAAGUUAAUUAAUUGCCUUAAUUCCGCAUAAACACCUAUUCACCCCCC
RNAcentral lists this long non-coding RNA (245 nucleotides) under Olea europaea (common olive). RNAcentral's name for it is "long non-coding RNA (OEUR_LNC004431)". The record is from RNAcentral. Lineage: Eukaryota; Viridiplantae; Streptophyta; Magnoliopsida; Lamiales; Oleaceae.